RNAcentral lists this ribosomal RNA (446 nucleotides) under uncultured prokaryote. RNAcentral describes it as "bacterial SSU rRNA". It matches the Rfam family "Bacterial small subunit ribosomal RNA", at positions 355 to 796 of the family's 1533-position model. The record is from RNAcentral.
UCGAGAAUCUUCGGCAAUGGACGCAAGUCUGACCGAGCGAUGCCGCGUGCGGGAUGAAGGCCCUCGGGUUGUAAACCGCUGUCAGUUGGGAGGAAAUGCCAUGGGGUUCUCUCCAUGGCUUGACCGAUCUUCAGAGGAAGGACGGGCUAAGUUCGUGCCAGCAGCCGCGGUAACACGAACCGUCCAAACGUUAUUCGGUAUCACUGGGCUUAAAGCGUGCGUAGGCGGCCUGGAAGGUGAGAUGUGAAAUCCCACGGCUCAACCGUGGAAUUGCGUUUCAAACCACCAGGCUUGAGGAAGGCAGGGGUGAUGGGAACUUAUGGUGGAGCGGUGAAAUGCGUUGAUAUCAUAGGGAACACCGGUGGCGAAAGCGCAUCACUGGGCCUUUUCUGACGCUGAGGCACGAAAGCUAGGGUAGCGAACGGGAUUAGAUACCCCUGUAGUCC